RNAcentral lists this ribosomal RNA (1005 nucleotides) under Acinetobacter nosocomialis. RNAcentral describes it as "bacterial SSU rRNA". It matches the Rfam family "Bacterial small subunit ribosomal RNA", at positions 56 to 1056 of the family's 1533-position model. Lineage: Bacteria; Pseudomonadati; Pseudomonadota; Gammaproteobacteria; Moraxellales; Moraxellaceae. The record is from RNAcentral.
UGCAGUCGAGCGGGGGAAGGUAGCUUGCUACUGGACCUAGCGGCGGACGGGUGAGUAAUGCUUAGGAAUCUGCCUAUUAGUGGGGGACAACAUCUCGAAAGGGAUGCUAAUACCGCAUACGUCCUACGGGAGAAAGCAGGGGAUCUUCGGACCUUGCGCUAAUAGAUGAGCCUAAGUCGGAUUAGCUAGUUGGUGGGGUAAAGGCCUACCAAGGCGACGAUCUGUAGCGGGUCUGAGAGGAUGAUCCGCCACACUGGGACUGAGACACGGCCCAGACUCCUACGGGAGGCAGCAGUGGGGAAUAUUGGACAAUGGGCGCAAGCCUGAUCCAGCCAUGCCGCGUGUGUGAAGAAGGCCUUAUGGUUGUAAAGCACUUUAAGCGAGGAGGAGGCUACUUUAGAUAAUACCUAGAGAUAGUGGACGUUACUCGCAGAAUAAGCACCGGCUAACUCUGUGCCAGCAGCCGCGGUAAUACAGAGGGUGCAAGCGUUAAUCGGAUUUACUGGGCGUAAAGCGCGCGUAGGCGGCUAAUUAAGUCAAAUGUGAAAUCCCCGAGCUUAACUUGGGAAUUGCAUUCGAUACUGGUUAGCUAGAGUGUGGGAGAGGAUGGUAGAAUUCCAGGUGUAGCGGUGAAAUGCGUAGAGAUCUGGAGGAAUACCGAUGGCGAAGGCAGCCAUCUGGCCUAACACUGACGCUGAGGUGCGAAAGCAUGGGGAGCAAACAGGAUUAGAUACCCUGGUAGUCCAUGCCGUAAACGAUGUCUACUAGCCGUUGGGGCCUUUGAGGCUUUAGUGGCGCAGCUAACGCGAUAAGUAGACCGCCUGGGGAGUACGGUCGCAAGACUAAAACUCAAAUGAAUUGACGGGGGCCCGCACAAGCGGUGGAGCAUGUGGUUUAAUUCGAUGCAACGCGAAGAACCUUACCUGGCCUUGACAUAGUAAGAACUUUCCAGAGAUGGAUUGGUGCCUUCGGGAACUUACAUACAGGUGCUGCAUGGCUGUCGUC